This 590-nucleotide ribosomal RNA is filed under the name uncultured euryarchaeote. Its description in RNAcentral is "bacterial SSU rRNA". It matches the Rfam family "Archaeal small subunit ribosomal RNA", at positions 851 to 1441 of the family's 1478-position model. The record is from RNAcentral. Lineage: Archaea; Methanobacteriati; Methanobacteriota.
GAAACUUAAAGGAAUUGGCGGGGGAGCACCACAACGGGUGGAGCUUGCGGUUUAAUUGGAUUCAACGCCGGAAAUCUUACCGGGACCGACAGCAAUAUGAAGGCCAGGCUGAAGACUUUGCCGGAUUAGCUGAGAGGUGGUGCAUGGCCGUCGUCAGUUCGUACUGUGAAGCAUCCUGUUAAGUCAGGCAACGAGCGAGACCCACGCCCACAGUUGCCAGCGUACUCUCUGGAGUGACGGGUACACUGUGGGGACCGCCGCUGCUAAAGCGGAGGAAGGAAUGGGCAACGGUAGGUCAGUAUGCCCCGAAUAUCCCGGGCUACACGCGAGCUACAAUGGUUGGUACAAUGGGUAUCUACCCCGAAAGGGGAUGGUAAUCUCCUAAAGCCAAUCUUAGUCCGGAUUGAGGGCUGCAACUCGCCCUCAUGAAGCUGGAAUCCGUAGUAAUCGCGUUUCAACAGAACGCGGUGAAUACGUCCCUGCUCCUUGCACACACCGCCCGUCAAACCACCCGAGUAGGGUCUGAAUGAGAGCGCUUCCUUUGGAGGCGUUCGAAUUUGGGCUUUGCAAGGGGGGUUAAGUCGUAACAA